Molecule: transfer RNA, 73 nt
Filed under: Acropora cervicornis
Lineage: Eukaryota; Metazoa; Cnidaria; Anthozoa; Scleractinia; Acroporidae
Description: tRNA-OTHER
Rfam family: tRNA
About the family: Transfer RNA (tRNA) molecules are approximately 80 nucleotides in length. Their secondary structure includes four short double-helical elements and three loops (D, anti-codon, and T loops).
Source: RNAcentral
GGCUUCAUAGCUCAGUUGGUUAGAGCGUCGCACCGGUAUCGUGUGGUCACGGGUUUGAACGCCGUUGAAGUCC